Molecule: unclassified non-coding RNA, 257 nt
Filed under: uncultured fungus
Lineage: Eukaryota; Fungi
Description: partial contains 5.8S ribosomal RNA, internal transcribed spacer 2, and large subunit ribosomal RNA
Rfam family: 5.8S ribosomal RNA (bases 1-52)
Source: RNAcentral
AACGCACAUUGCGCCCUUUGGUAUUCCAAAGGGCAUGCCUGUUCGAGCGUCAUUUGUACCCUCAAGCUUUGCUUGGUGUUGGGCGUCUUUUGUCUCCAGUUCGCUGGAGACUCGCCUUAAAGUCAUUGGCAGCCGGCGUAUUGAUUUCGGAGCGCAGUACAAGCUCGCGCUUUGCACUCACAACGGACAGACGUCCAGAAAGUACAUUUUUUACAACUCUUGACCUCGGAUCAGGUAGGGAUACCCGCUGAACUUAA